AACGAACGCUGGCGGCAGGCUUAACACAUGCAAGUCGAACGCACCUUUCGGGGUGAGUGGCAGACGGGUGAGUAACGCGUGGGAAUCUACCCUUCUCUACGGGAUAGCUCCGGGAAACUGGAAUUAAUACCGUAUACGUCCUGAGUGAGAAAGAUUUAUCGGGGAAGGAUGAGCCCGCGUUGGAUUAGCUAGUUGGUUGGGUAAAGGCCUACCAAGGCGACGAUCCAUAGCUGGUCUAAGAGGAUGAUCAGCCACAUUGGGACUGAGACACGGCCCAAACUCCUACGGGAGGCAGCAGUGGGGAAUAUUGGACAAUGGGCGCAAGCCUGAUCCAGCCAUGACGCGUGAGUGAUGAAGGCCCUAGGGUUGUAAAGCUCUUUCAGUGGGGACGAUAAUGACGGUACCCACAGAAGAAGCCCCGGCUAACUUCGUG
RNAcentral lists this ribosomal RNA (433 nucleotides) under uncultured bacterium. RNAcentral describes it as "partial 16S ribosomal RNA". It matches the Rfam family "Bacterial small subunit ribosomal RNA", at positions 29 to 507 of the family's 1533-position model. The record is from RNAcentral.